This 485-nucleotide ribosomal RNA is filed under the name Catonella sp. canine oral taxon 158. RNAcentral's name for it is "bacterial SSU rRNA". It matches the Rfam family "Bacterial small subunit ribosomal RNA", at positions 9 to 495 of the family's 1533-position model. The record is from RNAcentral. Lineage: Bacteria; Bacillati; Bacillota; Clostridia; Lachnospirales; Lachnospiraceae.
GAGUUUGAUUCUGGCUCAGGAUGAACGCUGGCGGCGUGCCUAACACAUGCAAGUCGAACGGAGAUUAUAAACGGAAGUUUUCGGAUGGAAGUUUAUAAUCUUAGUGGCGGACGGGUGAGUAACGCGUGGGCAACCUGCCUCAUACAGGGGGACAACAGACGGAAACGUCUGCUAAGACCGCAUACGUCUUUUUGGUCGCAUGACUGAGAAGGGAAAAGAGCAAUCUGGUAUGAGAUGGGCCCGCGUCUGAUUAGCUGGUUGGUAAAGUAACGGCUUACCAAGGCAACGAUCAGUUGCCGGACUGAGAGGUCGGACGGCCACAUUGGGACUGAGACACGGCCCAAACUCCUACGGGAGGCAGCAGUGGGGGAUAUUGCACAAUGGAGGAAACUCUGAUGCAGCGACGCCGCGUGAGUGAAGAAGUAUUUCGGUAUGUAAAGCUCUAUCAGCAGGGAAGAUGAUGACGUACCUGACUAAGAGCCCCG